UACAGAGGGGGCAAGCGUUGUUCGGAAUUACUGGGCGUAAAGGGCGCGUAGGCGGCCAUGCGUGUCUUCCGUGAAAUCCCUCGGCUUAACUGAGGACGUGCGGAAGAAACUGCAAGGCUUGAGUCCGGGAGAGGGGGGUGGAAUUCCCAGUGUAGCGGUGAAAUGCUUAGAUAUGACAUAGAACACCAAUUGCGAAGGCAGCUCACUACACAAUCAUUGACGCUGAGGCACGAAAGCGUGGGGAUCAAACAGG
RNAcentral lists this ribosomal RNA (253 nucleotides) under uncultured bacterium. RNAcentral describes it as "partial 16S ribosomal RNA". It matches the Rfam family "Bacterial small subunit ribosomal RNA", at positions 524 to 776 of the family's 1533-position model. The record is from RNAcentral.